GAUGAACGCUGGCGGCGUGCCUAACACAUGCAAGUCGAACGGAAGGGCGAGAAUCUUGCUUCUCUGUUGUUAGCGGCGGGGGGGCGUGUCACACGUGUAUCAUCUACCUGUCUGUCUGGUAAAUCCUCGAGAAACCGGAUCUAAUACCAGAUAAUCUUUUGAUCCGUAUGGUUGAAUAGAGAAAGUCGGUCGUGCUGUCUCUUAUAGCUGCUUCCGCGCUGCAUUAGCUAGUUGGUGAGGUACCGGCUUAUCAAGGCGACGAUGCAUAGCAGAACUGCCAGGGUGAUCGGCCACCCUGGGACUGAGACACGGUCCAGACUCCUACGGGAGGCAGCCGUAGGGAAUCGUGCGCAAGGAGCGGAAGCUUGACGGAGCAACGCCGCGUGAGUGAUGAAGGUCUUCGGAUCGUAAAACUCUGUUAUUAGGGAAGAACAUAUGUGUAAGUAACUGUGCGCAUCAUGAAGGUAACUAAUCAGAGAGGCACGGCUAACUUCGGG
This 497-nucleotide ribosomal RNA is filed under the name uncultured bacterium. Its description in RNAcentral is "partial 16S ribosomal RNA". It matches the Rfam family "Bacterial small subunit ribosomal RNA", at positions 28 to 507 of the family's 1533-position model. The record is from RNAcentral.